Molecule: ribosomal RNA, 497 nt
Filed under: uncultured bacterium
Lineage: Bacteria
Description: partial 16S ribosomal RNA
Rfam family: Bacterial small subunit ribosomal RNA
Source: RNAcentral
GAUGAACGCUGGCGGCGUGCCUAAUACAUGCAAGUCGAGCGAACAGACGAGGAGCUUGCUCCUCUGACGUUAGCGGCGGACGGGUGAGUAACACGUGGAUAACCCACCUAUAAGACUGGGAUAACUUCGGGAAACCGGAGCUAAUACCGGAUAAUAUAUUGAACCGCAUGGUUCAAUAGUGAAAGACGGUUUUGCUGUCACUUAUAGAUGGAUCCGCGCCGCAUUAGCUAGUUGGUAAGGUAACGGCUUACCAAGGCAACGAUGCGUAGCCGACCUGAGAGGGUGAUCGGCCACACUGGAACUGAGACACGGUCCAGACUCUUACGGGAGGCAGCAGUAGGGAAUCUUCCGCAAUGGGCGAAAGCCUGACGGAGCAACGCCGCGUGAGUGAUGAAGGUCUUCGGAUCGUAAAACUCUGUUAUUAGGGAAGAACAAAUGUGUAAGUAACUAUGCACGUCUUGACGGUACCUAAUCAGAAAGCCACGGCUAACUACGUG